CUCUGUUUAACUGCGUUAUUACUUUCUGUAUCUGUUGUAGUUUUCAUUAAAAAAUAUGAGGCAUUAUAUACGGAAUGCUCCUCGUAUAUUCCUUUAGGGUUGGGGGAGGUAGAGUGGUAUAACCUGAAAUCCUUGUUUCAUCAGCUCUACAACGGUCAGGGAAAGAAGCCUUAUAUGUGACUACUCUCCUCAAUUUCUCCUAGCUGUUAUGCUUCCCCCUGCAGCAUACUUCUUUACAUUCCCCUCCACAUAUGUAAAAAUACUACUGAGUGGAACGUUGGUAUUGAUAAUCACAUGAUAACCUCUACUGAUAAGUGCUUUGGGGUGGAUGACAUAGGACAGAGAGGGCUGGAGGGGAAUACAACAAGCAGAAAGAGGAAAGCAUUGAGUGGUUUCAUCUUCGCCAUCCUUAGGACUUUUAUGAGCAGUCUCAGUGCAGUAAUAUUAGCAAUAAUGUACAAAAGUGAAAAUUGUCUAUAAACAAUGCUGAAUGUAUUGUACGGCAGUUGGUGCUCUAUGCAGAUAUAUAAAUUAUGUAGAAAAAUGACUCUCAGUACCAAAAGAAUGCUGUUUAUAGCAUAUUGCCAGGCACUUAAGGUAAUGAUGUCUUUUUGAUUAGGAUGUUAUUUGCUUGUAAAGUGAAGUUAAUUUCAAUUUAUUGUAAAAAUUUUUAUUGGAGUACAGUAAUUGGAAUAUGAUAAUUUAUGUUCAAGUGUAAUAAAGUCAGGAUGAAUUAUCUGUUGUCUAAAACCUACAGACUUUGAUGACUGGGAUACAAACACUUUGUGUGUGAUUAUAUUCCAUACUGUUAAAAUAUUGUGAGAAAUAAGUAACAAAAUGCUGAUGUUGUACAGUCCAUUACAAGUGACUCUUAUUUUAGGUGCUUUUGUUAUCAGUCAUUUUAUUUCAGUGUUAUGAGAAGCUUCAUCUACCUAUCUGCAGCCAAGCUAGAAACUUCUACACCUACCCAAUGAAUUACACGUGCAGCUACUCUUGUCAGCCCCUACCACUUUGGCUCUCAUGUACAUUUCUACUACUGCUCCUUCAUUGUGCUCCAUUUGUGCCAGCAUGCAUGGAAUACGUCCAAUUCAGUGGGACUGUAGGAGGAAUAUAAGGGUGGUCCAGUUCUACAUCAAAAAUUGAGAAGCUCAGGUAAAAAUCUGUUAUUGACUGUAUUGUUUAGAAAGCUGUAUUUUGAUUCUCCCAAACUGAAAACUCUGUGGACUCAUUAUAAUUAACCUAGUAAUUUACACAUGCAAGCAGAUAUUCAUUACUUGUGAUUCUCUAAACAUCGGUGGCAAUGCUCAAUUUUUGACACCAGUCCUGUGCUGGGCAUUGUCCAAUAUGUGAGGUGUAUUUGCCAUACAGAGCAUUUCAAGACUUGGUGCCUCUCGCGUCUUCAGGUAAUUGGUUGUCAACCAACACACUUUAAUUGCCAGUUACAAAGAAGCUGGGAGUGAAACUGAUUAGGAUGCAAUUUUUAUGGUUCUUCUGAUAGCUGGAUAAGGGUUAAUAUAUAAGGUUACUAAUGCUAAUUUCAAUUUUUUACAGGCAUAAAUUUCAUGAGCAUUUGGUGCCAGUUGUCUGUGAAUAUCAGAAACCUCUUCAGGACAUACAUUCCGUUGCAUCUGCACUCAAGAUGUACUUCCUUGAACUUCCAAACCCUCUGUGCACAUACCAGCUCUACCGUGCCUUUGUUGAUGCCUUUCAGCACAGUCCUGAAGUGGGUUGCAGACUUUUCCACAUGCAGCAUGCUGUGCAGAAACUGCCACUUCCACACUAGAGGUAUUUCUGGUGAUGCCUGAUAAUGAAUAAAGAAAUCUGUGACAUGAACAAGUAAUUUACAUAGCUCAUCUCUGUUUAUUGUAUUGUACCCGUUUCACUUGUUAAAAAAAUAAUAUUUUAGGAAACUGGUUGUCAGCAAUUCAGCUGAAUGCCAUCAGUUCAAUUUAACAGUGUUGCAAACCAUAAUAUUUGGUCAGGUCACAUUUCCUCUUUGAAUUCUUGUCAAGCAACUUCCUUAUUUGGCUAUGCUAUACUUUUCAGAUGCUACUUCAGCAAGAGUUACAUGAGUUUACAAGACAUGGAAAUUUAAAGCAGAGGACAUGUUUCUAAAAUGUUAUGGUGUAAUGAUCAAUUUAUGAGUUUGUAUGGGGUAUUUAUUGUGAUUAUUAGAAUAUACCAUACUUUUCAAAGUGUAUGCAAUAAAAUAAUUUGUGUGGGGACUGUA
Molecule: long non-coding RNA, 2230 nt
Organism: Cryptotermes secundus
Lineage: Eukaryota; Metazoa; Arthropoda; Insecta; Blattodea; Kalotermitidae
Exons: 2
Source: RefSeq, a predicted model, not a curated record